UGGAAAGAAGAGCAUGUGAGUUCUUUCUAUAAUCUGUUCGAGUUUUGCUUUUGCGAUUAUUUGGAUUCUGUUAAAAACCUGAAAAUAUCAGUGGGUACAUCCUUUUUUCAUUUGACUAGAUUCUUGCAUAUGUUAUAAUUAUCAUAACAGUAUGAUAAUUUGGUUUAUUGCUAUAGCUUGCUCAAUUCUCUUAAGGUUUUUUAUUUUUUUUUAAUACUAAAAGUGCCAAGUUCAAAAUUAGUUAAGAGUAUGUUUUUGAAGUAUAUAAGUCAAACAAGUAGCGGCAAUUGAGGCUUCAACUUUAUUAACUAAACCACAUUUUGCCACACAUUUCUUGUCUGUUAACUUGCUAUAGUUAAUGGCAAGUUUUGUCUUAUCAAAUCUUGGGCUUGAGUAAUCCUCUCAACUUUCUUAUGGCAAAUUGACUCUUAGAUGAGCUGACUCGGGUUUAGGUUAUAAUUAUUUUUUUUUAAUUGCAAAAGAUACCAAUAUAUGUCAGGUCUUUCUUUUUGUAAUUUUGCAUAUCGGCGUGCACAAGAGAGAUAGAAACAAGCAAAGAUUGCCAGUCUUCCGUGUCAUCAUUCUAGCUGCCCAAUUAGAGAUUGCAUUCUGUGAGGUCAUGGCCUUGCUUGAAUCAAGGUUUCUAUCUGUGAGGAAGUUGUUAGAGUAAAAGUGGUAUAAGGAUAGAACUACAGUCUCCUUGCUAAAAGUCACUACUCUUUCUGAUAUUACAUGCAUAAUGAUUUUUUAGAUUUUGGAAUUCUUUGUGCACCUUUUUUGUAUCAUUCGUAUGAUUAAGUUUGUUUAAUCUUAUUCCUCUUGCCCAUGAUUUUAUUUACACCUACAGUUUGUGAUCGUCUCUUUAACUGGAUGGGGAUUACUUUUCUUUGGAGGUUACAAGUUCUUCACUAGAGGCAAGAAAGACAAGAAAGAAGAGGUACUUCAUCACUAAUUCAUGGGGUUUGAUACUUAAAUUAAUUUCAAUCUGGCAGCACAAGAAUUGUAUAUUCACCUCAAAAGCCUCCACCAAUUAGUGGAAUCAGCUACAUGAAUUCUUCAAUGCAUCCUGUAUUGGACUAUAGUUUUCCAAGAGAUUUUUAAAUACUCAAUUAUUUCUUUUAACUUCAGAUAAAAAUUAUAUGAUUAAUCUAUAA
This 1154-nucleotide unclassified non-coding RNA is filed under the name Hevea brasiliensis (rubber tree). The record is from RNAcentral. Lineage: Eukaryota; Viridiplantae; Streptophyta; Magnoliopsida; Malpighiales; Euphorbiaceae.